Molecule: ribosomal RNA, 297 nt
Filed under: uncultured bacterium
Lineage: Bacteria
Description: partial 16S ribosomal RNA
Rfam family: Bacterial small subunit ribosomal RNA
Source: RNAcentral
UGAGGCCUACGGGGGGCAGCAGUGGGGAAUAUUGGGCAAUGGGCGCAAGCCUGACCCAGCAACGCCGCGUGAAGGAAGAAGGCUUUCGGGUUGUAAACUUCUUUUCUGAGGGACGAAGAAAGUGACGGUACCUCAGGAAUAAGCCACGGCUAACUACGUGCCAGCAGCCGCGGUAAUACGUAGGUGGCAAGCGUUAUCCGGAUUUAUUGGGUGUAAAGGGCGUGUAGGCGGGAAAGCAAGUCAGAUGGGAAAACUCAGGGCUCAACCCUGGGCCUGUCUUUGAAACUGUUUUUCUUG